GAUUUAGAUUGUUUCUAGUGGCGGACGGGUGAGUAACGCGUGGGUAACCUGCCUUAUACAGGGGGAUAACAGUCAGAAAUGACUGCUAAUACCGCAUAAGCGCACAGGACCGCAUGGUCCGGUGUGAAAAACUCCGGUGGUAUAAGAUGGACCCGCGUUGGAUUAGCUAGUUGGUGAGGUAACGGCCCACCAAGGCAACGAUCCAUAGCCGGCCUGAGAGGGUGAACGGCCACAUUGGGACUGAGACACGGCCCAGACUCCUACGGGAGGCAGCAGUGGGGAAUAUUGCACAAUGGGGGAAACCCUGAUGCAGCGACGCCGCGUGAAGGAAGAAGUAUCUCGGUAUGUAAACUUCUAUCAGCAGGGAAGAAAAUGACGGUACCUGACUAAGAAGCCCCGGCUAACUACGUGCCAGCAGCCGCGGUAAUACGUAGGGGGCAAGCGUUAUCCGGAUUUACUGGGUGUAAAGGGAGCGUAGACGGAUGGACAAGUCUGAUGUGAAAGGCUGGGGCUCAACCCCGGGACUGCAUUGGAAACUGCCCGUCUUGAGUGCCGGAGAGGUAAGCGGAAUUCCUAGUGUAGCGGUGAAAUGCGUAGAUAUUAGGAGGAACACCAGUG
This 618-nucleotide ribosomal RNA is filed under the name uncultured Lachnospiraceae bacterium. RNAcentral describes it as "bacterial SSU rRNA". It matches the Rfam family "Bacterial small subunit ribosomal RNA", at positions 76 to 714 of the family's 1533-position model. The record is from RNAcentral. Lineage: Bacteria; Bacillati; Bacillota; Clostridia; Lachnospirales; Lachnospiraceae.